AUGCACUUUCUUCCCCGUCUUUCACUCUUCUUCCUCCUCUCUUCCCCAUCGUCGGUCGCACACCAUUUCCCCCUGCUCACUGCUCGCCCGCCCGCGCCAUCUUCCUUGGUUGCUCGCGCGUACCAUAUCCCCCCGCUCACUGCUCGGCCACACACGCCAUCUUCUUCGCUCACCCGCCCGAAUCCACUUCCCCGCUGGCUCGCAGGCACCGAAAACCCUAAAUAUAUAGACCUGGAAUCAUACCAGCCGAUGGGUGGUGGUUUACCGCUCGUUCAGCUGACAACGUACCAUAUAACUCGAAUUAACCGAUGCAACUCCAAGAAGGAUUGGCCGGUGCUGCCGGCUAGCAUCAAGUUCGAUCCCACGGAUCAGGAGCUGAUCGAGCACCUUGAGGCCAAAGUGAGAGCUGACAGCACGAGAUCUCACCCUCUCAUGGAUUUGUUCAUACCAACCAUCGACAGCGAGCACGGCAUAUGCUACACCCAUCCUGAGAAACUCCUAGCGCAAUUCCAGGGCGUUCAAAAGGGGCACGUGGACGCGUCGCAAGAUACGGUCGAAGUGCGGCAUGCACGCGAUGUGGCACAAGACCGGCAAUACCUUGCCGCUGAUGGUCAAUGGUCGGCAGACGGGCAGCAAAAAGGUUCUGGUGCUGCACACCAACAAGAACUUCGACCAUUCCCGCAAAAAAAUAACUUCAACCAGCAGAGGACCAACUGGGUGAUGCACCACUACCACCUUGGGGACCUAGAGCAAGAGAAGGGGCGGGAGCUGGUCCUCUGCAAGAUUUUCUACUAG
RNAcentral lists this ribosomal RNA (795 nucleotides) under Triticum aestivum (bread wheat). Its description in RNAcentral is "partial small subunit ribosomal RNA". Lineage: Eukaryota; Viridiplantae; Streptophyta; Magnoliopsida; Poales; Poaceae. The record is from RNAcentral.